RNAcentral lists this ribosomal RNA (914 nucleotides) under uncultured archaeon. RNAcentral describes it as "bacterial SSU rRNA". It matches the Rfam family "Archaeal small subunit ribosomal RNA", at positions 4 to 922 of the family's 1478-position model. The record is from RNAcentral.
CUGGUUGAUCCUGCCAGAGGCUACUGCUAUCGGGGUCCGACUAAGCCAUGCGAGUUGAGAGGGGUAAGCCCUCGGCAUAUUGCUCAGUAACACGCGGAUAACCUGCCCUUGGGUCCGGGAUAACCCCGGGAAACUGGGACUAAUACCGGAUAGAUCAAGGAUACUGGAAUGUUCUCUGGUCCAAAACUCCGGUGCCCAAGGAUGGGUCUGCGGCCUAUCAGGUAGUAGUGGGUGUAACGUACCUACUAGCCUACGACGGGUAAGGGUUGUGAGAGCAAGAGCCCUGAGAUGGAUUCUGAGACAUGAAUCCAGGCCCUACGGGGUGCAGCAGGCGCGAAAACUUUACACUGCGGGAAACCGCGAUAAGGGGACCCCGAGUGCCAGUACCUAGUGCUGGCUGUCCCGCUGUCCAAACAACAGUGGUUAGCAAGGGCCGGGCAAGACCGGUGCCAGCCGCCGCGGUAACACCGGCGGCUCGAGUGGUAACCGUUAUUAUUGGAUCUAAAGGGUCUGUAGCCGGCCGGAUAAGUCUCUUGGGAAAUCUGGCAGCUUAACUGUCAGGCUUUCAGGAGAUACUGUCUGGCUCGAGGCCGGGAGAGGUGAGAGGUACUUCAGGGGUAGGGGUGAAAUCUUGUAAUCCUUGAAGGACCACCAGUGGCGAAGGCGUCUCACCAGAACGGACCUGACGGCAAGGGACGAAAGCUAGGGGCACGAACCGGAUUAGAUACCCGGGUAGUCCUAGCCGUAAACGAUACUCGCUAGGUGUCGGCCACGGUGCGACCGUUGUCGGUGCCGUAGGGAAGCCGUGAAGCGAGCCACCUGGGAAGUACGGCCGCAAGGCUGAAACUUAAAGGAAUUGGCGGGGGAGCACCACAACGGGUGGAGCUUGCGGUUUAAUUGGAUUCAACGCCGGG